RNAcentral lists this long non-coding RNA (1206 nucleotides) under Piliocolobus tephrosceles (Ugandan red Colobus). Its description in RNAcentral is "lncRNA (ENSPTEG00000002052.1)". The record is from RNAcentral. Lineage: Eukaryota; Metazoa; Chordata; Mammalia; Primates; Cercopithecidae.
GUGCUCUAACACAGAGAAAAAUGAAUCAAUCCAAAGUGACAAUAAAAAAUUGCACGCAUGAUAGACCUUGUAGGCAAGAAUUUUAAAGCAGUUAUUAUAACUCUUUUCUCCUUGCUCAUGAGAAUAGAGGAUUGAUUGAAUGUGUUAAGUGGAGAAAUUGAAGGCAUAGAGAAAGAUCCAACUUAAACUUUUAGAACUGGACCCUCUUUCUUUCUGCUGGACAGCGGAGAAAACUGUCUCUUCCAGGUUUAUGCCCCUUCUUAGCAAGGUUUGGUUUCAUAACUGCCUGAGGUGAAGAUCUCAAGCCUCCCUUUCAAUGUAGGAGAAUCUGAAAAUCCUCCAAUUCCACAGCUCCCUAUAGGGAUGGCCUCAAUGUGGGUCAGGGUGUUCUUGUGCCCAGUGUUGCCUCCCUCACUUAGUUUCACACCUGCUGUGAAAGCCAGUCUCCAUCUCAGAGUCUGCUUCCAGGCAUCCCAAAAUAACACAACAAGUCAUCCCCAACUUGAGCCAUCAGGAACCUGAGGAGGCCACAGUAUACCAUAAAGCACCAGUUUAUUCCUAAUGAUCAUUGUGAGUCUGCAAAUGCCCAGUGAGAUCUGAGUGUUUCUUGCAUUUGUGUGGAAUGAAAAGGGCCCUGGCAUGCCAGGUGCUCUGGGAUCAGAGGGAGAGUUGGAGUCAGAUCCUCCUCCAGGAAUUCAGGGUCAGAAAAAGCAGCCUCACCCCAAGCAGGGACCACAGAUGCACCCGCAGGGGGAGCUGCAAGAUGAAUGUUGCCCACCUCCACCCUCCACAUCCUGUGAAAAAAAUCAUUCUUUCCACCCCUCCUUCAGCCAUCAAAGUUGACACUUUAGAAGCCACAAGAGCCUACACUUGUCAACAGAAAACCCACUCACAUCUCUGUCAACCACACAAUCUCCACAUAAAGAUUCUUCAAAAAAUAAUAACAGUAGCCACGAAAAGACCUUGGGAUUCCCAUGAGGCUCACACCAUAUUGUGAUUGAACAGUGCUGGUCUGCACCCCGUCAGGUAAGAGGGGCUGAGGAGUGACCUGGUGCAGGAAGCCCCAUCUUCAUCCACAGGACCUCAGUGUAAACACAGGGAGAGGCACGGGUGCAAGAGAAAUGAGAACAGGAGUGUGGACCACCUGCUUGUGCACGGGACUGAGCCUUCACUUCGAGCCAAAUAAACUUUUUUUUUCUAUCUUCA